AUCGCGAUAGCUUAGUGGAAGAGCGCGAGGCUCAUAUGGAUUCGUCCAAAUGACACCUCGAGGUCGGAGGAUCGAGACCUCCUCGCGAUA
Molecule: transfer RNA, 90 nt
Rfam family: tRNA
About the family: Transfer RNA (tRNA) molecules are approximately 80 nucleotides in length. Their secondary structure includes four short double-helical elements and three loops (D, anti-codon, and T loops). Further hydrogen bonds mediate the characteristic L-shaped molecular structure. tRNAs have two regions of fundamental functional importance: the anti-codon, which is responsible for specific mRNA codon recognition, and the 3' end, to which the tRNAs corresponding amino acid is attached (by aminoacyl-tRNA synthetases). tRNAs cope with the degeneracy of the genetic code in two manners: having more than one tRNA (with a specific anti-codon) for a particular amino acid; and 'wobble' base-pairing, i.e. permitting non-standard base-pairing at the 3rd anti-codon position.
Source: Rfam